Benincasa hispida (wax gourd) is the source of this 974-nucleotide non-coding RNA. The record is from RefSeq and is a predicted model, not a curated record. Lineage: Eukaryota; Viridiplantae; Streptophyta; Magnoliopsida; Cucurbitales; Cucurbitaceae.
GUAAAGAAGAAAAGUGUGGUUAAACAUCCUCUCCCAGGUGUAGCUACGUCACUAUCCAGAGCGAUCGUCACAUAUAACGUAGCACAUGAUGUUCCACACAAUAUCCUUACAGAAAUGAUGGGCUAGAUCUCGGACAACAAUACUGACAACGAGGUUUGAGAGAACUCCUUUAAACCACUCAUCAAGCAAUUCUUCAAGGAAUUGAUUACCCUGAAUUCGUUGGUCGAGUGCGAUAUCAUAAAUACUUUAUUUUAUUUUUUGAAAGAAAAAUUUUAUACCCGGCCCGACAUGUGCAUGCAUAAGUUCACCAUCUUGCCAAUUGGUGUAACGAGUCACUUUAAUGCUCGUGGCGGGGUAUUUAAACGAAUAAAGAAUAAGACACUUCUGGAGGCUACCCUAGCAUGGGAAGAUGAAGACACGUAUAAGGACUACGUCACUGAUAGAUUCGAUGUCAAAUGGGCAGAUGCGGAUUUUGUUUAUACGGCGAUGAAUAUCAGUGACCAUUGAAUGGUCCUUGCAAUGGACAUUAACAGAGGCCACAUAUUCGUAUUCAAUUCACUUCCGUCAUACACACCAAUGACAAAGCUGGUGAAUUGGCUAGGGCCAUUGACGGUCACAGUAUCAUCCUUACUUCACUACUGUGACGUGGAUUGUUCAAAAUCGAAUCUAUCCACAGCCCGUUGAAAAAUCUCGCGACCUAUGAAUGUCGACAUACAACACGGGUCGCUUGAUUGUGGCAUAUUCGCAAUCAAAUUACUAAAACACUUGGUGACUGGUGCUGAUCCGUUCAUAAUCACUUAGGAGAAGAUGAGUGAAUAUAGGAUGCAGUUAACGUGUCAACUAUGGGCAAACACUCCAUAUUUUUUAUGUGUAUAUAACAUUUAUUUUUUAUUGUAUUUUUUUAUGUAUGUAAAAACAUUUAUUUUUUAUGUGUAAAAACAUUUAUUUUUUAUGUGUAAAAACAUUUAUUUUUU